CAAGUCGAAUAAUACAUGAAGUUCGUUUCUGAAAAAGUAUUAUGGUAGAUGGCAAAGUAAAAAAGAAAAAAGCGGUAAAAAUUUUGGGAGCCCGCUAAAUUACAAGGCGGUAUUUUUUUUUCUUCCUUUUUUAAUUACAGUAAAAUAAUUUUCUGGGAAGAAUGAUCCUGUGCUCAUCUCUCUCAAAAUGCGAUCUCCCUUAUCCGGCCCCUAAUUACCAGUAGCGGUUAACAAACACCAAUCCUGUCGAUAACUGGAACCCUAAGGUCUCGGACCGGGACACGGUUAGAUUCCUUGCCAAUCCCCUUGACUCUGCAGCCUCUCCGCCGUCAACGCUGCAGACUACGCUAAGACGGAAGAACUCCCUGCAACUCCUUUUAACUUGAAGAAGAAAACCCCCGAGAUAACCGAUGCCACUCUCCGCCUUAAUCUGGCGGGCGGCUUCACUUGUGGGGAUGACCCCGGAUCCAGACCCAAUAAGAGGGUUCGCUCUGGCUCUCUCGGUAGCACCACCACCUAUCCCAUGUUGCCAACCAGAUGCAGAGAUUUUGCCAGUAGUGUAGCAAAUUUAUGCAAAUUUCAAAUCUCAAUUUUUUUUCUUUUAAUUUGUGCUGUAGAUUUAUGUUGUUUAGAACGGCGAGGUUCAUCAUCUUCUUGCUUGCUCUUUGCAGGUUUCAUCCCCUUUCCGAGUUUGACGAGGGCAAGCGGAGUUGUAGAAGGAGGCUUGCUGGGCAUAAUCGGCGUAGGAGGAAAACUCAACCAAAUGAUGUCAGCUCGAGACUUGUGCUCCCUGGAGAUUGAGACAAUAAAAUUAACGAACACUUGGAUAUCUUUAACUUGUUGGCUGCUGUGGCUCGCACACAAGAGAAAAGCGGUGGCAAAACUAUGAGUUGCUCUCUUUUACUGAACAAAUAAGAGCUCCUUCAUAUUCUUAGCAAGAUAAAUUCACUGCCUUUGGGAAGAAUUCAGCUACCAAGGAAUAUUUAGUCAUUCGCACGGUCCUAUGGUCAUUUGUCUAAACCCCGACAACCAUUUUUCUGCCUUGGAAUUCUUUCACUUUUGGUUUCAAACCCAUUAGCUGCAAAAAGAGAUGCCUUACAGAGCACUGUUACAGAGCACUGCUAUUUUGGGCUUUGGAUGUGAAACCAACAGAAAUUCUCUUGAAGCCAUGGUGAAGAGCACAGGAAAAGAAUCAUUACAAUGGGGACUGGCUGGUGGAGUGUAUUCAGGUCUCACCUAUGGACUGGCCGAAGCUUGAGGAGCUCAUGAUUGGCUGGUGGAAUGGAGAGUAUGUCUAAUACUCCUAAGUACCUUCCAGAUGUAAGAAAAGGAUCUUGAUUAGGACAUGAACAAAUUAUUGAUGGCAUGCUUAAAGAUGGCCUGUGGGAUGUCUAUAAUGAUUUUGGAAUGGGAGUUUGUGCAGAGAUAUGUGCUGAACAAUAUACUAUCUCGAGAGAAGAGCAGGAUGGCUAUGCUAUACAAAGCUUUAAGCGAGGAAUGGCUGCACAAAAGAGUCAAUUUUUUUUCAACACAUAAAUUUUGCAUUUGGACUCUUGCUGCAAACAAUUUUACUGGAGAAUUCCCUGAUCUCACUAGUCUCACCAAGUUAAAAUAACUAAGGAUCAGUAGUAACUACUUCACAGGAAGGAUGCCUGAGUUUGGCAAUUUGAAACAGCUUCAGAAGUUGAUGAUUAUGAGGUUUGCUAUCAGUUUUCCUCUGGAAUAAAGAUCAGCCAAUUGGGAUGAGCUCAGAAUCUUUUAUGCAGAAGCCUUGAAUUAGUAAUAGCACAAACCAGCCAUGGUAAACUUGAAACAACCUUGGGGCACUGCAGUGCAUGCCAAUAAGCUGAUCUUCAGCAAAUAAAAAAAUUAUAAACAUGGACAAAGAGAGAGCCUUCAUCACAGAGAUCAGAUAUUAUACAUUAAUAAUUAAAGCUCUCGAACAAAGAUUGUAUACUCACAAAAGUAAGGACUUUAUCAAAACUGGAACGAUUUCGGGCAGCAAUAACGACAUGGUUAGCAGCAACAGAGUUGAACAAAGACCAUUUCAUAGUUGGUGAAAUGGGUGAAGCUGAGAAUAGUUCAGUGCUUAGAAGAACACUCAAGAGUCUUUGUGUUAGUAAUGGUUGGUCUUAUGGCGUUUUCUGGUGUUUCGACCAAAGAAAUCCCAUGAUGAUUCUGAGGUUUGCUAUCAGUUUUCCUCUGGAAUAAAGACCAUUGUGGUAGUACCGGUUGAACCACGAGGACUAGUACAAUUUGGAUCUACUGAGAAGAUAUUUGAAAGAUUGGACUUUGUGGAUCAAACAAUGAGGCUCUUUCAGGAAAAAAACUUUCAGAUACCGCUUAAAACCUUAUAAAUCAAGCUCAUUUUAACAGAUCUGUACAAAUUUUUAUUCUCCAAAUAUGAAUGUUGUCAAUGAGAACUUCCUCCCUCUGCUCAAAUGCCUUGAUGACUGCAUAGCGUAUGUAGAAAACAAUCCACAGUAUGCUGAAUCUGGUGUUUACUUACUCAAAUUUCGACAAUUGCAGUCUCGAGCAUUGGGUAUGAUUCGCUCUCAUGUACUUUCUGUACUCAAAAGUGCGUCUUCUCAGGUUCAGUCAGCAAUCCGGAGCAAUAGUAGCAGCAAGGCAUCUCUUGCUGAGGGUGUAUUCUUGGUUGGAUGAUGCUAUUGAAUAAGUUCUCAAUUUGAGGUGGAGUAGACUUCUCAAUUUGAGAGAUUUUAUGUGACCAUAUCUAUUAAUUGAAGUUUUGCAGCUUAAGCUAGUGCUGAAGGAAAUUGAAAGUAGAUCAUCAAGAAAAGAGUAUAUUUAGCUACUUGCAGAAUGCCACAAACUUUAUUGUGAGCAGAGGCUUUCCUUGGGAUCAAAGAAUCAGAGAGAAAAAAACAUAUAAAACUCUGCAGCAACAAUCUACUGCAGUAAUCUUGUUAUUCACUUUAAAGUUAAGACUUCCGGCAACAACACCUCUGACACUCUACAGAUUCCCUAGAUGUGACAAGCGAAGUAUAAAAGGAUACCUAAGACUCCUUGAAACUAGUAUAGGCAAGGGUAUGAUGAAUUGACCAUGGGUUGGAGAGCUCUGGGGGCGAGGUGUACAUUGUCAACUGUUUGGCCGCCACGGUCGAGGGAUUGUACAGGGACGAAAACCUAAAAUGUGUAUUUUUCCAUUAGAGUGGCUUGAUUAUUUAUAACAUUUAGAAAUUCUGUAAUUAUGUCAUUUAAACCCUGAUUUGGGAUCCCGUGUACCCAACAUU
Long non-coding RNA from Humulus lupulus (European hop), 3254 nucleotides. RefSeq lists it as uncharacterized. NCBI's taxonomy places the organism in Eukaryota, Viridiplantae, Streptophyta, Magnoliopsida, Rosales, Cannabaceae. The record is from RefSeq and is a predicted model, not a curated record. The transcript has 23 exons.